This 222-nucleotide long non-coding RNA is filed under the name Gossypium raimondii (Peruvian cotton). RNAcentral's name for it is "long non-coding RNA (GRAI_LNC010064)". The record is from RNAcentral. Lineage: Eukaryota; Viridiplantae; Streptophyta; Magnoliopsida; Malvales; Malvaceae.
UUUUAUUUAAAAUAAUGAAAAUGAGCUGAAAAUACAAAAACGCGCUGAGCUAGUGACAUUUUCAAGGGAAAAUCAGAAAAACCUGUCCAACUCAACACUUUUUUCCCUCCUGACCAAUAAAACGCGUCCAGGUCAACGCGUUCCCCCCCAACGGUCACUUUCAACUGCUAUUUUAAAUAGCCGUUGCCCCCCCAACGGUAAAAAAAAAAAAACUAUAACCCC